This is a small nuclear RNA of Choloepus didactylus (southern two-toed sloth), 127 nucleotides long. The record is from RefSeq and is a predicted model, not a curated record. Lineage: Eukaryota; Metazoa; Chordata; Mammalia; Pilosa; Megalonychidae.
AUAUUGUAUGAAAGGAAAGAAGAUUCAUAUUCUCCUUGACAAGGAUUGAAGAGCCCCUUGAAGCUGCAUAAUGUGGAUAUGGUCAAGACAUUGCCACCUACUUCAGGGCAUCUAAUCAUGGAAAACC